RNAcentral lists this long non-coding RNA (599 nucleotides) under Zalophus californianus (California sea lion). Its description in RNAcentral is "lncRNA (ENSZCAG00015006219.1)". Lineage: Eukaryota; Metazoa; Chordata; Mammalia; Carnivora; Otariidae. The record is from RNAcentral.
UCCUUGAUUUCCUAUGAAAUAUCCCUGCCCCCACUCUCUCCCAUUCUCCUCCUGAGCCAGCAGAGUAACCCUACCCAUUUUUUGCCUUUUCAGGUAGUCAGACCUGUCCUGACAGCUGGAGGCCUACGUGAGGGGUGGCCACAGAAGGAGGAGGUCUCAGAGGCCACAGAAACUGAGGAAUCUGAACACAUGAGCUCCGGAGUCCCAGGACUGAACACCUUCUCAACUGAACUUAAAGGAGAGAUAAGUACAAUGUUUUGAGCUAUGUUUAAAUGAAGAUGAGCUAGAAGAAGACAGAACUGUUAAAAAUACGUAAGUUUUAUUAUGUAGCCAAAUGAAGGAUUCGGCUCUCUUUUAACGGUAUUCUUAAAAAUUCCUAGCUUCUAGGAAAUUCCCUAGUUAUGGAAUUUUCUUUCAUUAUAUUGAACUACUCCUGAUUUCAUCAUGAAAAUCUGAUCUGAAACUCAAUUUAUGGAAAUAUUGAAAAUGAAUUUGAAAUUAAAUGAGACCAUCUGUAUACUAAUAUGAUGCAAUAUUGUUGAUUCACAUUUUUCCAUAUUAAAGACUGUUCUGAACUCUAAAUCUUUUAAAUAAAUGAG